CUGCCCUCAAGCACGGCUUGUGUGUUGGGCCCCCGUCCCGGUUCUCCAGCCGGGACGGGCCCGAAAGGCAGCGGCGGCACCGUGUCCGGUCCUCGAGUGUAUGGGGCUCUGUCACCCACUCGUGUAGGUCCGGCCGGCGGCUAGCCUCAACCAAACUUUUUAAACCAGG
RNAcentral lists this unclassified non-coding RNA (169 nucleotides) under uncultured Aspergillus. RNAcentral describes it as "sequence contains ITS2". The record is from RNAcentral. Lineage: Eukaryota; Fungi; Ascomycota; Eurotiomycetes; Eurotiales; Aspergillaceae.